AGCGAACGCUGGCGGCAGGCUUAACACAUGCAAGUCGAGCGGGCCCUUCGGGGUCAGCGGCGGACGGGUGAGUAACGCGUGGGAACGUGCCUUCUGGUUCGGAAUAACUCAGGGAUACUUGAGCUAAUACCGGAUACGCCCUUUUGGGGAAAGGUUUACUGCCGGAAGAUCGGCCCGCGUCUGAUUAGCUAGUUGGUGGGGUAACGGCCUACCAAGGCGACGAUCAGUAGCUGGUCUGAGAGGAUGAUCAGCCACACUGGGACUGAGACACGGCCCAGACUCCUACGGGAGGCAGCAGUGGGGAAUAUUGGACAAUGGGCGCAAGCCUGAUCCAGCCAUGCCGCGUGAGUGAUGAAGGCCUUAGGGUUGUAAAGCUCUUUUAUCCGGGACGAUAAUGACGGUACCGGAGGAAUAAGCCCCGGCUAACUUCGUG
This 433-nucleotide ribosomal RNA is filed under the name uncultured bacterium. Its description in RNAcentral is "partial 16S ribosomal RNA". It matches the Rfam family "Bacterial small subunit ribosomal RNA", at positions 29 to 507 of the family's 1533-position model. The record is from RNAcentral.